UUCAAAAAAAAAAAAGAGAGAGACUUUUUGUUUCUUUUUUCUUUUAAACACACUCCCUACACUCGCCCCAUCUGUCUGCUUGGAGCAGGUGGGGCUGGAGGCAGGUUGAAGCCGUGGGCAGGCUGCAAAAGAAACGGGGACAAGAAUAAGCACAGAGCAGAUUCCUUCUCCUCCCUGCCACCCCACACACACACCUUCCCCCUCACGCCACCCAGGGCCUUACAGCACCCACAGAAAUCAUGUCAAAUAUUCUAGUCUGCUUGGCCACGGGCUCCAUACACUCUGAGGGCUCCAUGCUGCAACCAGCGGGAUCCUCCACGCAGUUCUGACCCUGUCCCUCCCCUGCUCAGGACCUCUCCCUAGUGCCCAUGGAUCACGUCCAAGGCCCCUAUGGAGGCUGCCAGGGGCCAUCUGCCUUGGCCCCGCCUGCUCUCCAGCCUCACUGGUCUGCUCGCUCCAACACACAAUCUCCCCUUCUCCUGGCCCCAUGAAGACUCCCUGCUCUCACACCCCAAGACCUUUGCACAUGCUGUACCCCUUGCCUGGCACUCUGUUCACCCAUCUUCUUCACGGAGGCCUUCCCUGACCACCCCUUUCCCUUCCCCUCACAGCACUUGCCUCUGUCACCUGCAUGACUAUGUGGGUAAUGUCGCCUCUCCCACUGGACUGUGGGUUCCACAAGGCAGGGAUACAGUCUGUCCUAGCCCCCACUGUGUCCCCAGCUCUGCAGGCAGGGGAGGAGCAGGGCUGAGGCGCGUUCGAGGCGCCUACAGGAGUGGGUGAAGGGGAGGGCCGGGAGAUGUAGCUGGUCCCUCCCCACCCACCUGUGUCCCUUCUCUUUGGGGAUAAAGCCCUGGAUCCCCAUCAUAGCCCAGGCCCUGAGCCCUGCCACCCUGCUCUCUCCCCCUCACCCACUCCCCCAAGAAAUCAUGAUGACAACAGUGACAACUCCAGUCAUAGCAGGCAGGGCAAGAAGAUGAGGCUGUCUUCAAAAGGCAGCUUCGCCGACAGAGCAGGGUUCAACCAUCAUGCCUAUUACUGACUUCCAGCAAAUCCAAUAACCUCUCUAUGCCCGUUUCCUCCCCUGUACAACGGGGACGAUCGGGACA
RNAcentral lists this long non-coding RNA (1109 nucleotides) under Homo sapiens (human). RNAcentral describes it as "non-protein coding lnc-MAP3K10-1:1". The record is from RNAcentral. Lineage: Eukaryota; Metazoa; Chordata; Mammalia; Primates; Hominidae.